GUGGCAAUCGACAAUCGUCGUCAUUUGUAGAAGACCGUUAAUAAUUCUAAAAGUUUUAUUGAACAGUCUUUAAACAACAGCCUUUAGUAUAUGACGAGUUCUCUCAUUUUUAUAGAAUAUUUUAAUAAUUUCAUUCUGAAGCUCAAAGAAGACGAAUGAAGAAAUAAGAGCUAGCUGUUUCUUCGGCGGUGAUGGUACACGUUUGAACUGUAAAUGUGGUGCAGCUCGAUUUCGCCGAACAGCGUCGAAGAAUACUUACAAUCAUGAUGAAGAUUGUAUGAAGAAAAUUUGGAGUUUAUUCGGCGGCGGUGCACCACUCCGUACACUAUAGAUUGGACAACUCUUAAAUCUUGCCAUAAUAUCGGAAAAACAAAAAAAAAGAAAUAAUUACGCUAUAUAAUGUCAACCCGGAGGAAGAUUGGCAGCAUCAAUAGGAAGCUGAUGAAUAACAAAAAAAAGUGUCACAGGGCUGUGUUUGUUUAAUACUAUAAUUUUUUAAACAGUAGUACAGUAUAUUAUGAAUAUUUACUUAAAUUAUAUUUAAUUUUUAUGGUUUUUUUUUAGAUAAUAUACUGUACUACGGUUUUAGGUGUUCUUUUUAUUUUAAUAAUACACUGAAAAAUUACCAACUUUUUCAAUUUUUUUUCUUAUCACAAAGCAAGUUCGUCUUUGUGUAUGUUUAAAUUUAUAUUUUUUAUAGUUAUUGUGCUGUUUAACUUUCUUAUAAAAGAGAGUGAGGAAUUAAAAAGGUGGCCACCGAACAGAAAGUUAAACUACAAUAUACUAUAAUCUUUUUAGUUCUUGUUUACAUUUUUAACUGAUAAAUUAUGAAUAUAAAAUUUCAAAUUAAUUUAAAUUCAAAAAUAAAAGAACACCAACAUAGAUUUCUUAAACAGUAAAAUUUUACUAUAAGUUUGAAUUACAUUUAAUCUGCACAUUAGUUGAAGUUUUAUAGGAAACGAACAUUUGGCUGGAUCGUGGACUACUCACCGACGAAGAAUUUGUCAUUGAGCUGAAGGAAAAUGUGUCGGCACUCGGCUUCGUUUCAACCAGGAGGAAGAUUUGCAGCAUCAAAAAGAAAUUCAAUUGAUGAUAAUCAACUGUCGAAGUGAUGAAGAAUUUGUCAUUGAGCUGGUGGAAAAUGUGUCGGCACUUGGCUGUAUUUCAACACGAAGGACGUCUGGCAGCAGCAAAAAGAAAUUCAACUGACGAUAAUCAACUGUCGAAGUGAAGAAGAAUUUGUCACAAAGCUGAUGGGAAAUAUGUCGGCUGUAUUUCAACACGGAGGACGUCUAGCAGCAGCAAAAAGAAAUUCAACUGACGAUAAUCAACUGUUGAAGUGAAGAAGAAGUUGUCACAAAGCUGAUGGAAAAUGUGUCGACACUCGGCUGUAUUUCAACACGGCCGGAGGACGACUGGCAGCAGCAAAAUGAAAUUCAACUUGAUGAUAAUCAACUGUCGAAGUGAAGAAGAAUUUGUCAUUGAGCUGGUGGAAAAUGUGUCGACACUCGUCUUCGUUUCAACCCGGAGGAAGAUUGGCAGCAUCAAUAAGAAGCUCAUCUUUAUGUCAACUGUUGAAAGGAUUUGUUUGCAUUAUAUUAUAAGUUUAAAUUACAUUUAAUCUGCAUAUUAGUUGAAGUUUUAUAGGAACAGAACAUUUAACUGGAUCAUGGACUAUCCACCGACGAAGGAAGAAUUUGUCAUUGACCUGAUGGAAAAUGUGUCGGCACUCGGCUUCGUUUCAACCCGGAGGAAGAUUUGCAGCAUCAAAAAGAAAUUCAAUUGAUGAUAAUCAACUGUCGAAGUAAAGAAGAAUUUGUCACAAAGCUGAUGGAAAAUGUGUCGACACUCGGCUGUAUUUCAACACGGAGGACGUCUGGCAGCAGCAAAAAGAAAUUCAACUGACGAUAAUCAACUGUUGAAGUGAAGAAGAAUUUGUCACAAAGCUGAUGGGAAAUAUGUCGGCUGUAUUUCAACACGGAGGACGUCUAGCAGCAGCAAAAAGAAAUUCAACUGACGAUAAUCAACUGUUGAAGUGAAGAAGAAGUUGUCACAAAGCUGAUGGAAAAUGUGUCGACACUCGGCUGUAUUUCAACACGGCCGGAGGACGACUGGCAGCAGCAAAAUGAAAUUCAACUUGAUGAUAAUCAACUGUCGAAGUAAAGAAGAAUUUGUCACAAAGCUGAUGGAAAAUGUGUCGACACUCGUCUUCGUUUCAACCCGGAGGAAGAUUGGCAGCAUCAAUAAGAAGCUCAUCUUUAUGUCAACUGUUGAAAGGAUUUGUUUGCAUUAUAUUAUAAGUUUAAAUUACAUUUAAUCUGCAUAUUAGUUGAAGUUUUAUAGGAACAGAACAUUUAACUGGAUCAUGGACUAUCCACCGACGAAGGAAGAAUUUGUCAUUGACCUGAUGGAAAAUGUGUCGGCACUCGGCUUCGUUUCAACCCGGAGGAAGAUUUGCAGCAUCAAAAAGAAAUUCAAUUGAUGAUAAUCAACUGUCGAAGUAAAGAAGAAUUUGUCACAAAGCUGAUGGAAAAUGUGUCGACACUCGGCUGUAUUUCAACACGGAGGACGUCUGGCAGCAGCAAAAAGAAAUUCAACUGACGAUAAUCAACUGUUGAAGUGAAGAAGAAGUUGUCACAAAGCUGAUGGAAAAUGUGUCGACACUCGGCUGUAUUUCAACACGGCCGGAGGACGACUGGCAGCAGCAAAAUGAAAUUCAACUUGAUGAUAAUCAACUGUCGAAGUGAAGAAGAAUUUGUCAUUGAGCUGGUGGAAAAUGUGUCGACACUCGUCUUCGUUUCAACCCGGAGGAAGAUUGGCAGCAUCAAUAAGAAGCUCAUCUUUAUGUCAACUGUUGAAAGGAUUUGUUUGCAUUAUAUUAUAAGUUUAAAUUACAUUUAAUCUGCAUAUUAGUUGAAGUUUUAUAGGAACAGAACAUUUAACUGGAUCAUGGACUAUCCACCGACGAAGGAAGAAUUUGUCAUUGACCUGAUGGAAAAUGUGUCGGCACUCGGCUUCGUUUCAACCCGGAGGAAGAUUUGCAGCAUCAAAAAGAAAUUCAAUUGAUGAUAAUCAACUGUCGAAGUGAUGAAGAAUUUGUCAUUGAGCUGGUGGAAAAUGUGUCGGCACUUGGCUGUAUUUCAACACGAAGGACGUCUGGCAGCAGCAAAAAGAAAUUCAACUGACGAUAAUCAACUGUCGAAGUGAAGAAGAAUUUGUCACAAAGCUGAUGGGAAAUGUGUCGGCACUCGUCUUCGUUUCAACCCGGAGGAAGAUUGGCAGCAUCAAUAAGAAGCUCAUCUUUAUGUCAACUGUUGAAAGGAUUUGUUUGCAUUAUAUUAUAAGUUUAAAUUACAUUUAAUCUGCAUAUUAGUUGAAGUUUUAUAGGAACAGAACAUUUAACUGGAUCAUGGACUAUCCACCGACGAAGGAAGAAUUUGUCAUUGACCUGAUGGAAAAUGUGUCGGCACUCGGCUUCGUUUCAACCCGGAGGAAGAUUUGCAGCAUCAAAAAGAAAUUCAAUUGAUGAUAAUCAACUGUCGAAGUGAUGAAGAAUUUGUCAUUGAGCUGGUGGAAAAUGUGUCGGCACUUGGCUGUAUUUCAACACGAAGGACGUCUGGCAGCAGCAAAAAGAAAUUCAACUGACGAUAAUCAACUGUCGAAGUGAAGAAGAAUUUGUCACAAAGCUGAUGGGAAAUAUGUCGGCUGUAUUUCAACACGGAGGACGUCUAGCAGCAGCAAAAAGAAAUUCAACUGACGAUAAUCAACUGUUGAAGUGAAGAAGAAUUUGUCAUUGAGCUGGUGGAAAAUGUGUCGGCACUUGGCUGUAUUUCAACACGAAGGACGUCUGGCAGCAGCAAAAAGAAAUUCAACUGACGAUAAUCAACUGUCGAAGUGAAGAAGAAUUUGUCACAAAGCUGAUGGGAAAUGUGUCGGCACUCGUCUUCGUUUCAACCCGGAGGAAGAUUGGCAGCAUCAAUAAGAAGCUCAUCUUUAUGUCAACUGAUGAAAGGAUUUGUUUGCAUUAUAUUAUAAGUUUAAAUUACAUUUAAUCUGCAUAUUAGUUGAAGUUUUAUAGGAACAGAACAUUUAACUGGAUCAUGGACUAUCCACCGACGAAGGAAGAAUUUGUCAUUGACCUGAUGGAAAAUGUGUCGGCACUCGGCUUCGUUUCAACCCGGAGGAAGAUUUGCAGCAUCAAAAAGAAAUUCAAUUGAUGAUAAUCAACUGUCGAAGUGAUGAAGAAUUUGUCAUUGAGCUGGUGGAAAAUGUGUCGGCACUUGGCUGUAUUUCAACACGAAGGACGUCUGGCAGCAGCAAAAAGAAAUUCAACUGACGAUAAUCAACUGUCGAAGUGAAGAAGAAUUUGUCACAAAGCUGAUGGGAAAUGUGUCGGCACUCGUCUUCGUUUCAACCCGGAGGAAGAUUGGCAGCAUCAAUAAGAAGCUCAUCUUUAUGUCAACUGUUGAAAGGAUUUGUUUGCAUUAUAUUAUAAGUUUAAAUUACAUUUAAUCUGCAUAUUAGUUGAAGUUUUAUAGGAACAGAACAUUUAACUGGAUCAUGGACUAUCCACCGACGAAGGAAGAAUUUGUCAUUGACCUGAUGGAAAAUGUGUCGGCACUCGGCUUCGUUUCAACCCGGAGGAAGAUUUGCAGCAUCAAAAAGAAAUUCAAUUGAUGAUAAUCAACUGUCGAAGUGAUGAAGAAUUUGUCAUUGAGCUGGUGGAAAAUGUGUCGGCACUUGGCUGUAUUUCAACACGAAGGACGUCUGGCAGCAGCAAAAAGAAAUUCAACUGACGAUAAUCAACUGUCGAAGUGAAGAAGAAUUUGUCACAAAGCUGAUGGGAAAUAUGUCGGCUGUAUUUCAACACGGAGGACGUCUAGCAGCAGCAAAAAGAAAUUCAACUGACGAUAAUCAACUGUUGAAGUGAAGAAGAAUUUGUCAUUGAGCUGGUGGAAAAUGUGUCGGCACUUGGCUGUAUUUCAACACGAAGGACGUCUGGCAGCAGCAAAAAGAAAUUCAACUGACGAUAAUCAACUGUCGAAGUGAAGAAGAAUUUGUCACAAAGCUGAUGGGAAAUGUGUCGGCACUCGUCUUCGUUUCAACCCGGAGGAAGAUUGGCAGCAUCAAUAAGAAGCUCAUCUUUAUGUCAACUGAUGAAAGGAUUUGUUUGCAUUAUAUUAUAAGUUUAAAUUACAUUUAAUCUGCAUAUUAGUUGAAGUUUUAUAGGAACAGAACAUUUAACUGGAUCAUGGACUAUCCACCGACGAAGGAAGAAUUUGUCAUUGACCUGAUGGAAAAUGUGUCGGCACUCGGCUUCGUUUCAACCCGGAGGAAGAUUUGCAGCAUCAAAAAGAAAUUCAAUUGAUGAUAAUCAACUGUCGAAGUGAUGAAGAAUUUGUCAUUGAGCUGGUGGAAAAUGUGUCGGCACUUGGCUGUAUUUCAACACGAAGGACGUCUGGCAGCAGCAAAAAGAAAUUCAACUGACGAUAAUCAACUGUCGAAGUGAAGAAGAAUUUGUCACAAAGCUGAUGGGAAAUAUGUCGGCUGUAUUUCAACACGGAGGACGUCUAGCAGCAGCAAAAAGAAAUUCAACUGACGAUAAUCAACUGUUGAAGUGAAGAAGAAUUUGUCAUUGAGCUGGUGGAAAAUGUGUCGGCACUUGGCUGUAUUUCAACACGAAGGACGUCUGGCAGCAGCAAAAAGAAAUUCAACUGACGAUAAUCAACUGUCGAAGUGAAGAAGAAUUUGUCACAAAGCUGAUGGGAAAUAUGUCGGCUGUAUUUCAACACGGAGGACGUCUAGCAGCAGCAAAAAGAAAUUCAACUGACGAUAAUCAACUGUUGAAGUGAAGAAGAAUUUGUCAUUGAGCUGGUGGAAAAUGUGUCGGCACUUGGCUGUAUUUCAACACGAAGGACGUCUGGCAGCAGCAAAAAGAAAUUCAACUGACGAUAAUCAACUGUCGAAGUGAAGAAGAAUUUGUCACAAAGCUGAUGGGAAAUGUGUCGGCACUCGUCUUCGUUUCAACCCGGAGGAAGAUUGGCAGCAUCAAUAAGAAGCUCAUCUUAAUUUAGUUGUCCCCCCCUUUAUGCAUUAGCGCUCAUCUCUCAUCCACUCAUCCAACACAUUGACUAUCGCCGGCCGGCAACACACACAUAUUAUACACAUUACCCGUUUUAUAUUAUAUAAAAUUAUUAAUAUCUACAUAGUUUAAGUUAUUGUAUAUUUUUUUUUUAUUAUUUGAAUGCAUUCAUAUGAUCAGUUGCGUAUUUAGAAAUUUUAGAAUAAGAGCAACACAUAUUUUGUUGCCUCCCCCCCCGUUAAAUAAAAAAUUAAAAUAACUUCUAUGCCGCGCAUUGGUCAAACUGUUAAUACCAUAGAAUACCAUGUUAUAUAAAUACUAUAUAGUAUUUUAUACCUCUAUGUCACACAUUUGUUGUGAAAAAUAUUAAUAAUUGACGUCACUGUGCCAGUACUCAUAAAGUACGAAAUAAAAAUUUGCUGCCCCUCUAAAUCUUUAAAAAUUUGCCGUUCUGGACAACUGGACCCAAAGCCCCUACCUAAAUACGCCCCUGCAUAUAGUGCGUUCUCGCUUACAAUGUGGAUUAGGCCUACUGGGGACACCACAAUAAAAAAACGCGCCUUGUGUAAUACCUCAUAAAGUUAUUAAACCAUACGGACAAUGUUAUUGUUCGUCGUUUAAUAAUAAAGGUGGUGUGGAAAAUUA
This is a long non-coding RNA of Rhopalosiphum padi (bird cherry-oat aphid), 6727 nucleotides long. RefSeq lists it as uncharacterized. The record is from RefSeq and is a predicted model, not a curated record. The transcript has 32 exons. Lineage: Eukaryota; Metazoa; Arthropoda; Insecta; Hemiptera; Aphididae.